ACAUCUCAUGUGCCCAAACCGCUCUUUUAGAUAGCAAAGAGUUCAUGUCCCCUGUCAUAACUCCGUUCGAAGCCAAUCUUGCUUUUAGCAGAGGGAGUGAGUGGACUGGUGCAUACCUAAUGCAAUUCCAAGACGUGAUCAACUCUGUAAAAUUAGAAUCA
This is a non-coding RNA of Camelina sativa (false flax), 161 nucleotides long. The record is from RefSeq and is a predicted model, not a curated record. NCBI's taxonomy places the organism in Eukaryota, Viridiplantae, Streptophyta, Magnoliopsida, Brassicales, Brassicaceae.